AUUCCAGCUCCAAUAGCGUAUAUUAAAGUUGUUGCGGUUAAAAAGCUCGUAGUUGGAUUUCUGCCGAGGACGACCGGUCCGCCCUCUGGGUGAGCAUCUGGCUCGGCCUGGGCAUCCUCUUGGAGAACGUAGCUGCACUUGACUGUGUGGGGCGGUAUCCAGGACUUUUACUUUGAGGAAAUUAGAGUGUUUCAAGCAGGCAUCCGCCUUGAAUACAUUAGCAUGGAAUAAUAAGAUAGGACCUCGGUUCUAUUUUGUUGGUUUCUAGAGCUGAGGUAAUGAUUAACAGGGACAGUUGGGGGUAUUCAUAUUUACAUGUCAGAGGUGAAAUUCUUGGAUUUUGGAAAGAUGAACUACUGCGAAGGCAUUUACCAAGGAUGUUUUCAUUG
Molecule: ribosomal RNA, 389 nt
Filed under: Dinophyceae sp.
Lineage: Eukaryota; Dinophyceae
Description: partial small subunit ribosomal RNA
Rfam family: Eukaryotic small subunit ribosomal RNA
Source: RNAcentral